Molecule: ribosomal RNA, 468 nt
Filed under: uncultured bacterium
Lineage: Bacteria
Description: partial 16S ribosomal RNA
Rfam family: Bacterial small subunit ribosomal RNA
Source: RNAcentral
GACGAACGCUGGCGGCGUGCUUAACACAUGCAAGUCGAACGGAAAGACCCUGCUUUUGUUGCGUUCUCGAUUGGCGAACGGGUGAGUAACACGUGAGUAACCUCCCCUUGUCUGUCGGAUAUCUCCUGGGAACUGGGGCUAAUACCGCAUAUGAGCUCCUGAUGCAUGUUGGGGGUUAGAAAGUUUCGGCGGUUGGGGAUGGAUUCGCUGCUUACCAGCUUGUUUGGCGGGUAGGUGCAUACCAAGGCUUCGACGGAUAGCCGGCAUGAGAGCUUGAACGGCGACAUGGGGACUGAGAUACGGCCCAGUAUCGUACGGGAGGCAGUAGGGGGAAAUAUUGCACAAUAGGCGGAAGCCAGAGGCAGCAACGCUGGGUGCGGGAUGACGGCCUUCGGGGUGUAAACCGCUUUCGACGGUGACGAAGCGGGAGUGGCGGUAACGGGUAAAGAAGCAACGGCUAACUACGUG